GCCACUCCUUCACCACCACCAACCACCGUCUCAUCACCACCGUACGAUCGAAUCAAAGCCGUGAAAGAAUUCGACGAAACAAAAUCCGGCGUAAAAGGCUUAAUCGACUCCGGAAUCAAAACCAUUCCAUCUUUCUUCAUCCAUCCACCUGAAAUCCUAUCUGACCUCACUCCACGAUCAGAUUUCCCCCAACCGGAAAUCCCCACAAUCGACCUCUCCGCCGUCCACCACUCCCGCGCCGCCGUGGUUGAACAGCUUCGUUCCGCCGCGAGUACAGUUGGAUUCUUUCAAGUGAUCAACCAUGGAGUCGCGCCGGAAUUGAUGCGAAGUGUGAUCGGUGCUAUGAAGAAGUUUCAUGAACAGCCUGCUGACGAGAGGAAGAAGGUGUACUGUAGGGAGAUGGGAACUGGUGUUUCCUAUAUAUCUAACGUUGAUCUGUUCGCUUCUAAAGCUGCCAGCUGGCGUGACACGCUUCAGGUUCGAAAAUUACCUACGAGAAAACAGUCAUUGUGAGACAUUGUUGCUUUAGUUUUUAAAUAAUUGAAUUCGUAAGCACAUUCUCGUGUCUAUUUUGUUAGUCAUUUUAUGAACUUAACCAACGAAAAAACACAUUGAGGACUAAGACCGAAAUGGCUAAGAGUAUGUUUGUUUAGAAAAUAGCGAAUAGUUGAUAAACUAGUUUACCGCGGAUGAACUGAACUUAUAACUUAUAAUAGAUAACUGAUAUUUGAUAAGUUAGCUGACUAUUCAGUAGUAAAAUUAACAGUUGAACUAACUUUAAAAUAUGAAAUGAAAUGACAUAAAAGUGACGGUUAUAAGCAAUAAGUUCAAAAUCAUGCCCUUGCCAAACAGACCCUAAUAAAAAACACUUUUAGUGACUAAUAAAUUGAAAUUUAAGAUUAGACUCACUGUUGCAUCUCACUAAAGUUAAACUAAGUGUGCAUAGUGAUAAAUGAAAGUUGAAGUAAACAUCAAAAGAUGUCCAUGAGAAAGUGAAUUUUUUUUUGAAAAUUCUGUUAAAGAAACAUUUCUACAAAAAGCAUGAAUACUUUUAAAAUUACACGUCAAAUGAUUUUUAUUUGUAAAUUAAUAAAUUCAGUUGGAACAGUAUUUUUCAAUCAUGUAUUGCAAGAAUGAGUUUAUGUUGGUAAAUUCUGUUUACUGAUUGUUGCUUACUGCCCAGUUAGUUAAUUAUUUUCCAGUUGUUAGUAGUCAAUGAUUUUUAUAGUUAAUUCUGUUUUCUGAUAGUUACUUUAAUUGCAUCUUGAAAGUUUAUCACUCUUUCAAGUUUUUAAGUUCUUCAUGUUUUUCUUCUUUUCUUCAUGCCUUCUUCUGAUACGUUGAUCAUGUGUUACUCACGCACUAAAUAGGUGAUUUUGAUUAAUUCAUUUGUGCAUAAAUAGAAGUUAGUUUUAUAUGCAAUCAUCAAUUCAGUCUUUCAUAACAGUUUCAGUGAUUAACAUAAUCAACCCAAAAAAACUAAUGUGCUCGACAAAUUCAAAUUAAGAAAUUAAUAUAAAAUUAAAAUUUUAAGAACCAAAAUGAUAUUUCAUAAUUAUUUCAAUGGAAUUUAGCAGAUUAAGAUGGGACCUGUCCCAACGGAAGAGAAGGAGAUUCCGGAGGUAUGCAGGAAGGAGGUGAUGGAGUGGGAUAAAGAAGUGGUGCGUGUGGGAGAUAUUUUGCUUGGUUUGUUGAGUGAAGGGUUAGGGUUAGGUGAAGAAAGGCUCACAGAAUUGGGUUUGUCGCAAGGGAGGGUGAUGGUUGGCCACUAUUACCCAUUUUGCCCUCAGCCUAAUCUUACUGUUGGACUCAAUUCCCAUGCAGAUCCAGGGGCAUUGACGGUAUUGUUGCAGGAUCAUAUUGGUGGCUUACAGGUUAGGACCCAACAUGGUUGGAUUAAUGUAAAGCCUCUUGAUGGAGCUUUGGUCAUCAACAUUGGAGAUUUACUUCAGGUCAAUUAUAUUUUCUCUCUUAUUUUUACUUUUUUUAUUUUGUCUUUCCUUGUCUUCUCUUUUCGAGUAAUGCUACGUAGUAGAAAACAUUUUGCGCACGAACUUCACGAAUGUUCACAUCAAUUUUACAUGGAAAGAAGAAAAUUUAUUGUGUUUUGAUGGAAAUCACAGGGGUAAUGGCCAAUGAGUGUUUUGUGAUUGUGUCGUGCCUUUUCUUUUCGUAAUGCCAAGCAUUUUACUUUCUUUUUUUAAUUUGGAUUUCUCACAUCCAUAAUUUUGUGUCUCAGAUAAUUUCAAACGAGGAGUAUAAGAGUGCUGAUCAUCGUGUAUUAGCCAAUCCUUCCAACGAGCCACAAGUCUCGAUUGCUGUUUUCCUCAACCCGGGUAAUAGGGAGAAGCUCUUUGGUCCUUUACCAGAGCUAACAUCAGCAGACAAGCCAUCUCUUUAUAGAGAUUUCACGCUCAACGAAUUCAUGACAAGGUUCUUUAAGAAAGAGCUUGAUGGUAAAUCAUUGACUAAUUUCUUCAGAAAGUGAUGUUUCUAUAAAGCAGUGGUUUCUGGUGAUAUUUCAAUGUAAUAGUAACUUUGUAUCUUGGCACUGUACUGUUCAUGCAUAUAUAAGUUAUUAGGGAAGUUCAUUGCUGAAUAAAGGUGCUGUAUAUGUAUAUUAAUAGGAGCACAUUUGUUCUUCCAUAAGUUCACAAUAUUCUUAUCAUGUUAGAAAAAGUUACUAUUAUACAUAAUACUCCCUCCGUCCCAAUUUAAUUGAGCCAUUUGCUCAUUUCACGUUUAUUAAGAAAAAUAUAUUAGUGAAGGAGAGAGAAAAAUAGUUUUGAGUGUCUUUGUUAAGUAUUGGUCCAUUCUUCUUUAUCAUAAAUGUAAAGUAGAAUAUAUUGUAUUGGAAGUAGUGAAAGUAGUAUUAAUUAAAGUUAUAAUUGAAAAAAAGUAAUUAAUAUUGUAUUGGAAAGUGAAAUGACUCAGUUAUUUUAGGACACUUUUUUAUUGAAAAUGGCUCCGGUAUUAUGGGACGGAAGGAGUAUAUAAAUUUAUCAUGUGCUCUAUGUUGACACAAUUCUGACCAAGCCGUUACAGUAAUAUGUUAAUUUUUAAUGUUGGACCUUUAUUGAAUCUCAUUUUCUGUUUGUUGAUUGUGCUGUAAUUAGUUGCAUUAUAAAAGGUUGAUAUUUGAACGGAUUCCACUUAUAUGACUCAUGACUCAUCAUGAGUGCUUCCAUGUCCCAAAUACUUCAGGAUGUUUUGGUACCAUUGAUGAAUAAAGUCCUAUGAUAUUGUGAAUCAAAAUCAAUUCCUAUCCUCUUGUAAUCGGUUCAGUUUCAAAGAAAUCUAUAUAAUUAGUUUAAUUAUUAGCAAAAAAAAAAACAACUGUUCUACAAUUUUAUUUUCUUUACAAAAAAUAGAAAACCAACAUAUGUGAUUUUAUUAAAAGGGUAUAAUAAAUUACAGCACAUACAGAUGAACGAGUUUGGGCAGUAAUUUGAACGGUCAUAAGUUUCUUAGAGUAUCCACAAUGGUAGUUUCCUAACUAGGACCCCUUAAAUGGACCCCACGUGAUACGUCACAAGUUUCUUUUGAGAUGAAAAUGGUAACUGAUUGUAAGAAAAAACCUGUCCAUAAGACAUGCAUUACCCAUUGAUUAAUUGGGGGUAAUUUACCCUAAUGACAACUAUGAUUAAAUUCUCGAACAAAAGAGAUAAAGUUUACAUGUCGAAUGAAAGUGAAACAUACGAAGAAAAUUAAUAUUAUUGAGAUAAAAAUGGUAACUCUUGGGUGUGUUUGGGUUAGAAGAGAGGUGGCAUUUAGCAUGGAAAAGGGAAAGAGUUUCCCACCAUGGGAAAGCUAAUUUUGACCAUUAGAUUAACUAAAGAACACAGUUUUAUCAUAGACCAUCAACACCAAAAAAUUUCUCUAUCCUCCAUGACUUACCCAACCACCACCAGCCGUCUUUAUUGCAAAUUCUGAACAACCAUGGCUACCAUUCCAAGAGCUUGUAUCACACAUUUCUACCACAUAUCAUCCUUUGGUAUUUCUUUAGUGGGUUAAUGUAAAUAUGGGUCGGAUAUGGAGCUGAGGUUUGACCAAAGUCUUAGGAAUGCAUUGGUGUCUUUUACUCACUAAAAUUUUGCUAUCUACAUGAUCCUGGUAAAACUAUGUCGGGAAAAGCUUGAAAUUGAUUUCAUGUCAUGAAUUACUUAAAAGAGAAAGAGUAAAUUAAAUUAGCUUUUAAGACAUCAGAUUUAGAGAUGAAAGUGAUUCCACCAUGGGGAAAGAUUUAAAGAUGUGAAAAUUGACUUAAAGAUUUAGAGCGAGAGUAAAUGUGGAAGAAGGUAUAAUGGGGUGGUGGGUGCAAGGAGGAAGAUGAGAUGUAGAGGGUGGAUGGUUGGAUUUGGUGUUGAUGGUCUAUGAUAAAGUUGUGUUCUCUAGUUAAUCUGAUGGUCAAAAUUAGUUUUCCCAUGGUAGAAAACUCUUUCCCUUUUCCAUGCUAAAUGCCACCUAGAAGAGAAGUUGUGAAGAGAGAAAUAUGUAAGAGAGAAUAUGAGAAGAGAAAUAUGUGAGAAAUAUCCUUCAAAAAAAAUAUGUACGUUAGCUGAGCUACCCUACUCUCCUUUUGUCCAUUCUACUCUACACAAUCAAAAUCAAUCCACGUCACGUUGUCGAGUGUAGAAUUCUGCUACUCAAACUCAACUCAAUUACUCAACUGCUUUUUUCUUUCUAUAACUCUAAAAACUUCCACACACACAAGCAUUCCCUUCAUUCAUUCAUUCAACUCCCAACAAUGUCAUCAUCACCGAUCGCCACCCACUCACCACCACCAACAUACGACCGUGCGAAAGAUGUGAAAGAAUUCGAUGAAACAAAAUCCGACGUAAAAGGCUUAAUCGACUUCGGAAUCAAAACCAUUCCAUCUUUCUUUAUUCACCCACCCGAAACUCUAUCCGAUCUCACUCCACGAUCAGAUUUCCCCCAACCAGAAAUUCCCACAAUCGACCUCUCCGCCAUAAACAUUCCCGUGUCGCCGUGGUUGAUCAGCUUCGUUCCACUGCAAGUACGGUGGGAUUCUUUCAGGUGAUCAACCAUGGUGUAGCGCCAGAUUUGAUGCGAAACGUUAUUGGUGCUAUGAAGAAGUUUCAUGAACAGCCUGCGGAGGAGAGGAAGAAGGUGUACCGUAGGGAGAUGAGAACUGGUGUUUCGUAUAUGUCAAAUGUUGAUCUUUUCGCUUCUAAAGCUCCCAGCUGGCGUGACACACUCCAGGUUCGAAAAUUAUUUAUGAGAACAGUCACUUUGAUCUCUAAAUAUGUGAGAUGUUGUUGUUGUAGUUUUUAAAUAUAUUAAAACCGGAAGCACAUUCUCGUGUCUAUUUUGUUAGUAAUUUUAUGAACUUAACCAACGAAAAAAUAUAUUGAGGACUAAGACCGAAAUGACUAAGAGUAUGUUUGUUUAAAAAAUAGCGAAUAGUUGAUAUCUGAUAAGUUAGCUGAUUGAGGUUUGUAAUAUUCAGUAAAAUUAACAGUUGAACUAACUUUAAAAUAUGAAAUGAAAUGACAUAAAAAUGACGGUUAAUUACCAAACACAUCUAAUUUGAUCAAAUGAACUUACAAGACAUGUUAUAAGUUAUAAGUUCAAAAUCAUGCCUCGCCAAACAGACCCUAAUAAAAAGCACUUUUAGUGACUCAUAAAUUAAAAUUUAAGAUUAGACUGACUAAAGUGAAACUAAGCGUGCACAGUGCAUUAAAUGAAAGUUGAAGUAAACUUCAAAAGAUGUCCAUGAGAAAGUGAAAAAUGUUUGAAAAUUCUGUUAAAUAAACAUUUCUACAAAAAGCCUGAAUACUUUUAAAAUUACACGUCAAAUGAUUUUUAUUUGUAUAUUAAAAAAAUCAGUUGAAACAGUAUUUUUCAAUCAUGUAUUGCAAGAAUGAGCUUAUGUUGGUAAAUUAUGUUUACUGAUUGUUGCUUACUGCUCAGUUAGUUAAUUAUUUUUUGGUCGUUAGUAGUCAAUGAUUUUUUUUGUGAAUUAUGUUUGUUGAUAGUUACUUUAAUUGCAUCUUGAAAGUUUAUCACUCUUCGAAAGUUCUUUAAGCUUUUAUGUUUUUCUUCUUUUCUUGAUGCCUUUCUUCUGAUAUGUUUGAUAUGUGUUAUCACAAAGUAAAUAUGUGAUUUUGACUCGGCUUAAAUAAGUAAAAGGUCUCUGUAAAUUGGCGCGUUUUUUGUUUUAGUCCCUGCAAAUUUUUUUCUUGCGAAACAACCCUUAUAAUUACCAUACGUUUUGGAACUCAUCCCUUCCGUCAGGUUCCGUGAAAAAAAUGCUUUGCUGGCUAACAGACGCCUACGUGGCACAUGCUGAUAUGGCAACUGAUGUCAACUGGGUUAAGUAGAGGGACUAAAACCAAAAACGUAUUUUUACACAGGGAUGUAAUUAAAAAAAUGUAAACAUCAAUUUUUGAAUUUUAAAAACCACUCUUUCCUUCUUCUUCCUCUCUCUGAUCUUUCAUUCUUCUUUUUCUUCAAUCCAUCCAUGUCCAAAUUUCAAUUGCAUGCGCCCUAAAACCCAUUUUCUUCAACAGUGUGUUCUCAUUCCAUAGGCAACUCAUUUGAUAACUAUUCUACACCUUCUCCACCACCUUCACCUUAUAAUUACUACACCAAUUACUCUGAUAACUAUUUUAGUGGCAAUUACUUUCCCGGUUAUUAUCCCGGUGGUGCUUACCCACCACCACCGUCGCCACACCAUUUCUUUGAAUGUAUUGAAAGUUAUGCUGCUGUUGGGCCUAGUGGACCGUCUGCGCCGCUUGAAUAUUCAUUCUCGUUUGAUCCAGGGCCAAAAGGAGGUAAAAUGGGCUUAGGAGCUGGACUAGCUGUUGGUGUUGCUGCUGGGGCGCUGGGUCGACUUGCUCUGGAAGAAGGGGUGAGGUAUGAAGAGCGUGGUCUUGCGGAUAUGGUUGAGAGUGAUCUUACUUCUGCGAGAGAUGAUUAUGGAGAUAUGCAUUACCAAGAUUAUUGAGUUCUUUGUAGUUGGUGUUUGAUAAGGUUUGGAGUUUCAAGGAGUGUUGUUUUGGCACAUACAAAAAGAUGUGUGUGUGUGUGUGAUUGAAUGCAUAUGUGUUGCUUUAUUUGAUGCUAGAUGAUAAAGAAUGAAGUAAGAAAGCAAAUGAUUAUCAUGUGAUGUGAUGAUUUGGAAUUGUUCAACCAGUUAUAUUAUGAAAAUUAACGUUGGUUUUCUAUUUUAGUGUGGUUAGUGUAUUCUGUGUUUUGUUCAUGAUUUCUCAUAGAUCUUUGUAUAAUGGCAAAUUAGUUUGCAGCAUAAGUCUGUUCAUGAUCUUCCUCAUUGUUGUGUGAUGUUUCCCUUUUAGUGUUAUAUUUAUGCCUAAUUUAUCUGAUGAGGAAUGCUAACAACACUCUCUUUUGAGCACUCUUUCUAGCACUCACUCUUUUAUUGGGUGAAAUCAAUGUAUGUCCCACCACUUUAUGUGGGUUCCAUUUCCAAAGUGUAGGUCCUACAUUGAAUUCACCAAUAAAAGAGUGAGUGCUAGAGAGAGUGCUCAAAAGAGAGUGUUGCUAGCAUUCCUCUUUAUCUGAUAUGAGUACAAGGCUAUGUUACCUUUUCAUAAAUUAACCUAGUGAAAGUGAACCCAUAUGGCAUUGUUUUCCUUUCAAAGGUGUGGCAUGUUGAAGAAUUUAAGGUUCUUUCGAUGAUUGUUUGUUAAUCAUUUCAACUGUCCACAAGUUUAUUGAGAACUUAGUUGUGGUGCUUAUAUCGUUGCUUUAUUUAUCAAAUAUUUGAUCAGCUGGGGUGUGUAGUGACUUUUUAGCAUUGAUAAUUUGAAUUUGGCUUAAAUAAGGAAAAGGGCCCUGUAAGUUGGUGCAUUUUAGGGUUUUAGGGAAUUGAUGAGUUGCCUAAUAUGAUGAUUGAGAAAUGGAAUGAGAAGACAUGGUUGAAGGAAAAGGGUUUUAGGGCGCAUGCAAUUGAAAGUUGGAUAUGGAAGGAUUGAAGAAGAAGAAGAAGAAUGAAAGAUCAAAGAGAUGAAGAAGAAGGAAAGAGUUUUUUAAAAAUAAAAAAAUAAAAAUUAAAGUUUUUUUAAUUACAUCCCUGUGUAAAAAUUCUUUUUUGGUUUUAGUCCUUCUACUUAACCCAGUUGGCACCAGUUGCCAUACCAUCAUGUGCCACGUAGGCGUCCGUUAGUCAGCAAACCAUUUUUUUCACGGAACCUGACGGCAGGGACGAGUUCCAAAAUGUUUGGUAAUUACAAGGGCUGUUUCGCAAGAAAAAAACUUACAGGGACUAAAACGAAAAACGCGCCAACUUACAGGGACCUUUUACUUAUUUAAGCCUUUUGAUUCAUUCAUUUUUGCAUAAAUAGAAGUUAGUUUUAUAGACAACCAUCAAUUUAGUUUCUAAAAUUGCACGAACAAACAAAUUGUUUGAAAUUAAAAAUCCUCAAUUUGAUCACUCUUUCAUAACAAUUUCAGUGAUUAACAUGAUCAACCCAAUGGGACUAAUGUGAAUUAUUGAUCUUCUACAAUUUUCAGAAUCAAAUUGGUAUUUGAUCAUUAUUUCAAUGGAAUUUUGCAAAUUAAGAUGGGACCCGUCCCAGCGAAAGCGAAGGAGAUUCCUGAGGUAUGCACGAAGGAGGUGAUGGAGUGGGAUAAAGAAGUGGUGCGUGUGGGAGAUAUUUUGCUGGGCUUGUUGAGUGAAGGGUUAGGAUUAGGGGAAGAAAGGCUCACGGAAUUGGGUUUGUUGAGAGGGAGGGUGAUGGUUGGCCACUAUUACCCAUUUUGCCCUCAGCCUAAUCUUACUGUUGGACUCAAUUCCCAUGCAGAUCCAGGGGCACUGACAUUAUUGUUGCAGGAUCAUAUUGGUGGCUUACAAGUUAGGACCCAACAUGGUUGGAUUAAUGUCGAGCCUCUUGGUGGAGCUUUGGUCAUCAACAUUGGAGAUUUACUUCAGAUCAAUUAUAUUUUCUUUCUCUUAUGUUUACUUUUUUUAUUUUGUCUUUCCUUGUCUUUUCUUUUCGAGUAACGCUACGUAGUACAAAACAUUUUGCGCACGAACUUCACGAAUGUUCACAUCAAUUUUACAAGGAAAGAAGAAAAUUUGUUGUGUAUUGAUGGAAAUCAUAGGGGUAAUGGUCAAUGAGUGUCUUGUGGUUGUGUCGUGCCUUUUCUUUUCGUAAUGCCAAGCAUUUUACUUUCUUUUUUUAAUUUGGAUUUCUCACAUCCAUAAUUUUGUGUCUCAGAUAAUUUCAAACGAAGAGUAUAAGAGUGCUGAUCAUCGUGUAUUAGCCAAUCCUUCCAACGAGCCACAAGUCUCGAUUGCUGUUUUCCUCAACCCGGGUAAUAGGGAGAAGCUCUUUGGUCCUUUACCAUAGCUAACGUCAGCAGAGAAGCCAUCUCUUUAUAGAGAUUUCACGCUCAACGAAUUCAUGACAAGGUUUUUGAAAAAAGAGCUUGAUGGUAAAUCAUUGACUAAUAUCUUCAGAAAGUGAUGUUUCUAUAAAGCAGUGGUUUCUGGUGAUAUAUCAAUGUAAUAUUAACUUUGUAUCAUGGCAACUGUAUUGUUUAUGGAUAUAUAAGUUAUUAAAGAAAAAACUCAAUUCAGAUUCUAAAAUCCGAAAAAUCACAUGAGCAUUUUUGUAAAAAUUAUAGGGCGUGUGAGAAGUUGAUAGGGUUGAAAAAGUAAAACCUUCAAAAUUAUUGGGCAGGACACUUCAAUUAGAGUUCAAACUUUAGCCACUCCAUUCAUGUGUGAAUUUUAAUGAUUAUUUAUCAUUUUUUUCAUCUAAAAAAACACAGCCUUGUCAAAAAAAUCUAAAAAAACACAGUUAGUCAAUAUUUUUGAUUAACAUUAACAAAUACCAAUUAUUGGGCAUGACACUUCGAUCAGAGUUCAAACUUUAGUCACUCCAUUCAUGUGUGAAUUUUUAUGAUUAUUUAUCAUUUUUUCAUCUAAAAAAACACAGCCUUGUCAAAAAAAAAUCUAAAAAAACACAGUUAAUCAAUAUUUUUGAUUAACAUUAACAAAUACCAAAAUGUUACUCAUCUGUUUUAAAAUAAAUAUCACUUUAACAAUAACAAUUUGUUUCUAAAUGAAUGUUACUUACAUAUUUAUUUUAAUGUAAGAUCAUUAUUUUACUUUUAGUUUUUUGAAGGAUAUUUUACUUCUAAUUAUAUGCUCUAACUAAUGAAAUAUAUACUGCUUCCUAAACAUUACAUUCAUAAAUAAAACUAUUUCAAUAAAAUUGUCAUGUCAUUCAACAUCAUUAUAUUUUUUAAUCUGUGUAAAAUGUUAAACACACUCGUUUUAAAAUUUAACUCCAGUAAACUCUUUGCAUGUUAACUUAUAUGUCGUGUCAUACCUCAACAAGUAUUUACUGAUAUAAAAAAAACUCUUGAAUGUUUACUCAAAAUUAGAAUUAAAAACAGUUUAAUCUUAUCAUGUUAGCUAAUAUAUCCUAAUCUCAUUUGACUAUUCUAAAAAUCUCUACUUUGUAAAAUCAAAAUCAAUCAAUUUCACAUUGUUGAGUACACAACUUUUACUACUCAAAAUCAAACUCAACUACUUAUUUUCUUCCUUCAAAAUCAAAACCCAAACCCACACACACACAAACAUUCCCUUCCCAUCAUUCAUUCAAUUCCUAACAAUGUCAUCAUCACCAAUUGCCACCCCUUCUCUACCACCAACCACCGUCUCAUCACCACCCUACGACCGUGUGAAAGCCUUGAAAGAAUUCGACGAAACAAAAUCCGGCGUAAAAGGCAUAAUCGACUCCGGAAUCAAAACCAUUCCAUCUUUCUUCAUCCAUCCACCUGAAACCCUAUCUGACCUCACUCCACGAUCAGAUUUCCCCCAACCGAAAAUCCCCACAAUCGACCUCUCCGCCGUCCACCACUCCCGCGCCGCUGUGGUUGAACAACUUCGUUCCGCCGCGAGUACAGUUGGAUUCUUUCAAGUGAUCAACCAUGGAGUCGCGCCGGAAUUGAUGCGAAGUGUGAUCGGUGCUAUGAAGAAGUUUC
This 10980-nucleotide long non-coding RNA is filed under the name Medicago truncatula (barrel medic). Its description in RNAcentral is "long non-coding RNA (MTRU_LNC000715)". Lineage: Eukaryota; Viridiplantae; Streptophyta; Magnoliopsida; Fabales; Fabaceae. The record is from RNAcentral.